AAAGUUUAGGUGCUCUGGUCUACCAGUACAUCAUUUCUGCUCUGCCUUGUUUAAGUCCCAAUGUAGACUGCCUAGACUCCAUUUAGCCUUCUUUUCCAUAGGCUGUCCUGGUGACAAUAAUGAGAUGUAAGGAGUCUCUUCUAGAAAAAUAAAAACAUGGCUGCCUGUGUCUUUCAUAUUCUUGCGUCCAAGCCAUUAGAUGAUGUAGAGUGUAAAGUGCAUUGUUCUUUAAAAGAGCUCUAUGACCAAAGUGUGAUUGGACACGUAUUAUUAAUUAAUUAAUUAAUUAAUUAAUUAAUUGCAUUUGUUUAGCCCCCUUCAUCCGUAGAUCUCAGGAUGGUAUAAUGAAAACUGGAAGACAAUUGAGUUUUGUGGAGGUUUGGGAUAUAUCUUGCCCAUCUUACAAAUUCCUUAUGCAUCCCAGAAUUAUGUGUUGUGUUUGAUCUUGUGUGUGUGUGUUUGUAUAAAGCAAGGGGUACGGAACCUUUUUGAGCUUGAAGACCAUACUUGGGCAAUCUUCCAGGGGACACAUGACCAUGUUGAGCAGGCCCAGGGGCAAAAGUGGACGGAACAAGGGCAAAACAAAACAAAAAACCAAAAAAACCAAAAACUCACAUCUGCCUUCCACACAAUCUCAAAUAAGUUUCUAAAUUUGGUUUUCUUUGUGGAUUUCAUUAAGCAUUCGCCCUGCCACAGACACACAUAAUUUGAGAAUACGCAUACAGUAGCAUAGUGGUAAAUUCUGAAGGGCAGGUACACUUUAUGGCAACUCCCAUAGCUCUUCCCCUAAUAGCUAUGAUCCUUCUAAGGUAAAGGUAAAGGGACCCCUGACCAUUAGGUCCAGUCAUGGCCGACUCUGGGGUUGCAGCGCUCAUCUUGCUUUAUUGGCCGAGGGAGCCGGCGUACAGCUUCCGGGUCAUGUGGCCAGCAUGACUAAGCCGCUUCUGGCAAACCAGAGCAGCGCACGGAAAGGCCGUUUACCUUCCCGCUGGAGCAGUACCUAUUUAUCUACUUGCACUUUCACGUGCUUUUGAACUGCUAGGUUGGCAGGAGCAGGGACCGAGCAACGGAAGCUCACUCCGUCGCAGGGAUUCGAACUGCCGACCUUCUGAUCAGCAAGUGCUAGGCUCUGUGGUUUAACCCCAGCACCACCCGCGUCCCUUCUAAAACUAUACAGCAAAAAUGUUUUUGGUUUUUUUACUAAUGAUGAAAUUAUAGUCCUGAUAGCAAACCAGCUUUUUUCACCACCCCUCCCCCUUGCUUAAUGAUCAGUCUGAUCAAAUAGCUUGCACACUGUUUUGUGACAUUAACUACUCAGCUUAACACCAAGGUUGCAGGUCUGAUCCCCAUAUGGGACAGCUGCAUAUUCCUGCAUUGCGGGGGGUUUGGAGUAGAUGUUCUUCAAGGUUCCUUCCGACUCCUGUGAUUCUAUUAUCUUUUAUAUGCUUUCAGCUCUCUGUGUUCUAUCAGUGUUUGUUUUAAUUUUUGUGAGCCACCUUGAGUCCUGGUUGUGGGAGAUAGGCGGGAUCUAAAUAAAUGAACAAGUAAGUACUGUAGUAAGUUAGUACCGUAAGUGGAAGUGCUUUGUCCCUCCUAAUCUACUGUAUCACUGGCUGAUGAUACAGAAGCAUCAGAAAUAGUCUUAUUCCAAUUCAGUUUGAGGCCUCUAGAAAUACAUGGCUGCAAUUUCCUCUCUGAUCGCUAGAUGUCCUCUUUCUUCUUCACAAUGCAACUUCUGCUCCUGUAGAAAGCUUGGUUCUUUAGACAGCAAUCAUGGCAGCUGUAGCUGAAUGAUUUGCAUGAGGUAAAUCACGCCAGGCCUACAAACGGUAAGCUCAGGUUCAAAUCCCUGCUGAGCCAUGAAGCUUGCAAGUACAAGGUGGCCUCGGCAAGGCACAUUUAAAUCUACCUUGCAUGGUUGCUGUUGGGCUGAAGUGCUCCUCUGAGCAACUUGGAAGAAAGAUAGGAUAUGCAUGCAACAAAUGAAAUAAGCAAAUGAUUGGGUUGUUUCCAAGAGGAAACAAUUCUCUGACCCCAUUUACCAGUGCUAACAUAGUGCUCCUGAAACUAACUUAAAAUAUGUACAGGAACUGGUGCUUGACAAGUGUCCCCAUCCACAUACCUUCUAAUUAUUUUGAGCAUUAAAUGCUAGCUCCCUUCUCUGCCAAGUCACAAGGCUGUUAGUGCUGCUGUUCAUGUAGCUUGUGGUUCUAGCAAUGUAAGGAGAAUCGGAUGACUAUUUGUGAGCUUUUCCAUGCUGCUGUAGACAUUGACUCAUAGGCAGGAAGAUGUCACGGUACGCUUCUGUGUGGAAACAGAGAUUCGAGCUUGAAGUAGAAUUUUGCAAAUUUUUGCCUCAUUGGCGUCUUGGAAUGCCCACAAUGAGUGCAAUUUAAAUUGAUCUAAGUAAACUUCCAAACCCCCCACGGAAGAAGCCCUGAGCCACAGGGGAAGGUUUGCAACAGCCCUGACUAAAGUUUGCUUUCUUAGCUUGAGGGAAUCAAAGCAACUUCUUCCAGAGCAUAGCAGCCAAGGGGAAGGAAGGUGGGCCAAGGCGCAAGGCCUAGAAAAGGUGGUUUGAGGCUGGCAUCAUGUACCCGUCUGCCUACUAGGAUGGCCAUGUGUCCUAUUGUAUAGAAGACAGUCCUGUGAAGGGCCAUAGCUCGGUGGUAGAGCAUCUGCUUUGCAUGCAAAGGGUUGCAGGUUCAAUCCCUGGCAUCUCCAGGUAGGGCUGGGAGAGAACCCUAUCUGAAACCAUGGAGAGCCACUGCCAGUCAGUGUAAACAAUACUGAUCUAGAUGGAUCAGGAGUCUUGCUCAGUAUAAGGCAGCUUCCUGUCUCCCUGUGUCUUAUAUUUGGGCUAUGCAGUCCAAAUAUGGUUUAAAGAUUAAAAGACAUAAGGAGGGGGAGCAUGGGCAUGGAAGUCACCCAACCAUAAGUUAGCACAUGGCAAACUGAGCAGGCAGGUACACAGCUUACCUGGUCAAAGUCUUGUUCCCCACUAUGAUCCUCAGAGGACCUUAAGGUCCAGAAAUGACAACAUUUGGGAGGUCCCAGGUCGCAAGGUGGUUAGAUUGGUCUCAACUAGGGCCAGGGCCUUUUCAGUACUGGCCCCGUCUUGGUGGAACGCUCUGUCACAAGAGACUAGGACCCUGCGGGACUCGACAUCUUUCCGCAGGGCCUGCAAGACAGAGCUGUUCCGCCUGGCCUUUGGUUUGGACUCAGUCUGACCCUUAUGUUUCCCUCCCCUUAUGGUCUUGACCUAUCGGCUACUUUUAAAAUGAGGCUGCAUUUUAAAUUGCAUUUUAACCUGUAUUUUAAAUUGGUCCUGUCCCCCAUUACGUUUUUACUCUGAUUUUAUUGGUGUUAGCCGCCCUGAGCCUGGCUCUGGCUGGGGAGGGCGGGAUAUUAAUCAUCAUCAUCAUAGAAUCAUAGAAUUGUAGACUAGAGGACCCAAGGGUCCUCUAGUCCAGACCCCUGCAAUGCAGGAGCCUCAGCUAAAGCAGUCACAACAGAUGGCUAUCCAACCUCUGCUUAAGAACUUCCAAGGAAGGAGAGUCCACCACCUCCCAAGGGAAAUGUAUUGUAUUCUGCUGGGAUACCUUUUUGUUUAAGUUAAAGUUAUUGCUUCUAAAAGAAUCUGUGCGGGUGAUUUUAUGCAAAUCCACAUCCCCUUUUUGGUGACACUAACAGGCCUGCCAUACUGCCCAUUCUCCCUGUGGGUUGUUUUCAACAGAGCCGCUAAGCAACAUCCAAAGACACCAGUUAAACUGUGUGAAAUUCAGCAUCCUGCUCAAGUCCAUUUACAUAAAUGAUUGUUUUCUUUCAGCUUCAGUGUGUGACAAAUUAGCACCUAAUUAUGCUUCUUUUGGAAGAUGCCAAGAAUGAAAAGGUGUGUGUAUGUGGGAAGAAAGAUACUACUUUUCUGGAGCCAUUUUCUUGUUUCUGUCUUUCUUCCUGACACUGAUGAUGUAGCAGCUGCAUGAACCCUGACAAAAUGUGAAGGAAAACAGGAACUACCUUAUACCAAAUUAGACUAUUGGGAUGCCUGGCUCAGGAUUGUAUACCAUUCCUGGCAGUGGAACACCAGGCUUUCAGGGGGUGUUCCCUGCCUACCCACAGAUGCUGGGGACUUAACCUGGGAUCUUCUUCUGUGUGCAAAAGAGAUGCACUAUGUCAAAGCAAUGAUCCUUCCCCAAAUACGAGGGCUGUAUCAAAACCUGUCUUCUAUAGAAGGAGACCUCCAUGGGUGAGGAGUACUUGGAGACAGUGUUGGGGUCUUCGGGGGCCUCUCUGUGCAUUCCAAUGUAAUACCGGUCUGCUUUAGCGAAACACUAGAAGACCCUUCAGUCUACUAAGGAAAUUAAGGCUACAGAUUUUGCAUACCGUACCUGAAUCUAGAGAGCAACCUCAAAUUUUUCACAUUCUGAGGAUGUGUCUCACCUGUCAUUGCGGUGAGAAUGCAAUGACAAACUGAGAAACUCUCACGGCAUGUUCAGCCAUUCACAGAUUUUGGAGCACUACUGAGAUAAUGAGGAACCACCAUGGAAGAAGUGGACAAUCAGCUCUUCCUGUUAGCUAGGCCCCUUUACCUGGAGCAAGGCCUGCUAAUGAGUAAAGCACUGGCCAUGAACAGGAGUCUGCUUGUGGGUAGAGAGAGAAAUAGGAUAUGAAUCUUCUCUCCAGUUGAUGCUAAAGAUGUCCAAAGCUCUUAGUUUUCAAGGCACUAUUUCCUGGACAGGUUCUGUUGGAAUUAGGCACAGUAUUUACAUAACAAAUUUCUUUCAAUUGGGUUUACAGAGAAUAAUUUUUUCAUGGAUUAUAAUCCUUGUUUUUGAAGUCAGAUGGACCUAGUUGUAUAUAGCAUACCCUCCAACAUUUCUCCAAUGAAGAUAGGGACAUCCCAUUCCAUGAUUUUACUAUUUAUACGCCGCACAUCUUACUGGGUUGCCCCAGCCACUCUGGGCAGCUUCCAACAUAUAUAAAAACAUAGUAAAACAUUUAACGUUAAAAAACUUCCCUAUACAGGAUUGCCUUCAGACAGCCCAGGGGUCAGAUAACUUCAUACCCUCCAGCAUUUCUCCAAUGAAAAUAGGGACAUCCUAAGGAAAAGCGGGACAUUCCGGUAUUAAAUCAGAAAGCAGGAGGGCUUCUCUAAAUCAGUGUUGUCCCUGGAAAAUAGGGACACUUGGAGGGUCUGCUACAGUAAAUAGAUAAAUAUGUUUUAUCAUAGACUUGGCUUGCCAAUCUGAGGAUACUGUGGUAGUUGAUGUUCGCAGCACCUGAUAUUCAAAUGUGUGCUACUGCCUCAGAGAAAAAUAGGUGUUGGCUGGUACACGGAUUAGAAAAUUAGCUAUCCCCUGUAAGAUGAGAUGUCUAUCAGAACUUUGUAUUUAUUAUUUUGCAUAUUGAGAGCUCAAUGGUUUUGUCUACGUUUUUGCAAAUACCUUAAAGAGGAAAAGGAAGUCAAGGCAUUUUAACAUUAUGUUAGUUGAUGUUUGUACUUCAUUCCAACAGUUGUUGUUUUUUAAAGAUACUAUUGCAGAACAAUUAGGAAACAUAGAAUCAUAGAGUUGGAAGGGACAACAUGGGUCAUCUAGUCCAACCCCCUGCAAUGCAAGAAUAUUUUGCCCAAUGUGGGGCUCAAACCCAUCACCCUGAGAUUAAGAACCUUAUGCUCCAGUUAGGAAGAAGCAUAUCAAGUUGCAUCAUACUGAAUCAGACCAUGUCUACAUUAAUAGGCAACAGCUCUCUAGGUUUUCAGAUGGUGAGUCUCUUCAGGUCUAUUUCUAUACCUGGAGAUAAAUUUCACAGAAGGUAAUAAUUACAAUAAACUCAAAAUGAACACCUUUCAUCAUUUCCCCCACUAUAUUUUCUGCAGCAGAACAUUAGCGAGUGUUUUGUUCCUUGAUGCAGAGCCCACAUUAAUGGUAUAUUUUCCACUUGCACUUUAUUUCUUAUUCUGAAGCUGUUAUGAUUCCACCUAAUCAGCAACAAAGGAUCAAAAGCACAGGAAGGAGAGACAUAAAUAUUUAAAACCUUUACUUGCAAGCAGGAAAAGGCUGGCCAUUUUUUAAAAAGCAAGCCUGAAGCUCUGCUUGAGAUACAAAACUGCUCUGUUGAUCUUCGUUUGACAUUUUUAGGUUUAUAUAACAUGUGGCUCUAGCGGCUGUAUCUCUGGAGCCGAUCUGAAGCUUCACACUGUGGGUUGUCAGUAUGUUUUUAUUUCGGGUGGGGAGAGGGAAGGGAGAGCAAUGACUGCUUAAUUCGAGGAUGGGGAAAACCUAUGGCCUUCCAGAUGUUGUUGGGACUCCAACUCCCAUCAGCCCCAGGAAAGAAGCCAGAGCUGAUGGAUGUUCAGGUGGAAACUUUUCCAUUUAAUCGUUCAAGAAAUGACUUGGAAUCUAGCACCACCAUGAGUUCAGAAAGCAAAAGGCAGAUUGAGUACUUAACUAAAAUAGCACUCCAUUGUAAUUUGUGGGUCUCUUUUGCGAUAAGGUUUUAUUAUCUUUUCUAAACACAUAUUCACACAAGUAAUUCAUUCAGCAAUCAGGCUGCAAAUGUGUCGCUUUAAGAGGUUAAUGCUCUACUAACAAACAUUGAAUAAUGAUAUGCUUUGUAACCUAAACACGAUUUUCUUCUUGACACAUUUUUAUUCUGUGUGCAAAUCAACAAUCUGUAAGAACAAUGGAAAUGUUCCGAUGGAAAUGAUCCGGGUUGUGUUGUGAGUUUUAAUAUGACGUUCAGGGCCAGCCCUAAAUGGAUGCUGGGGUGCGGGGUGAGGAAUGACGUAAGAAUUGCAUGUGUCACAGAGACGGCUUUACACUCCCUAAACUAGCCUGCUGUCCUGUCACCAGUGUUGAAAUCAGAUUCAACUGGCAGUCUGGUUGGUUUCCAGAAGUGGAAUUAGGUGAGAGAGGACACCAUCUGUCUUUCGCCUGAUGCAGCAGCAUAUGACCCUGAUCAAAUUCCAGUGAUCUUAUUACCUAACAGACUCAAGCGAACUUUUAUUAAAUCACCAUAAACACUCUGACGCUUUGGCAUUGGCUUUAUUAUGAUAUGAUCUCUGCAUUCAUUUCAAUCCAACUUUUUAUUUGUGCUGUAAGCCGGGAUUGUAAAGGCUGUGAAUGUUUUGAGAUGAGGGUUAUAUAUACAGAUGUCUGAAGACCUAGAACAGGAUCUGGAUUACAAAUAAAAACACAAAUUUGUAUAAGAAGUGGAAGGAAAUUAAAGGAUAUUUAGAUAAAUUGUCUCUAUAGGGAAGGAUAUCCUUGAUAAAAAUGUCAAUUCUUCCUAAAAUGCUCUUUCUUUUUCAGACAGUCCCAAUAAUUAUUGGUACAAAUUGUUUUAAAGGCUGGCAAAGGGAGCUUUCUAAUUUUAUUUGGCAGGGUAAGAACCCAAGUCACACUCAGCUUAACAAAGUUUGAAUCCUCCCCUUGACUGGAAUCUUGUGCAGUCAAGGUUCCAGUCCACAUGAAGAUUUUAACCAUGUUCAACUGAAUAAGAACAUAAGAGCCCUACUGGAUCAAGUCAAAGGGUCAUCUAGCCCAGCAUCCGGCAUCCUAUUCUCAAAGUGGCUGGUAUCAUGGCUAGUAGCCAUUGGAAGUCUGGCCCUGCAUUCAUUUGUCUGGUGGCCAUCACUACAUUCUCCCCAUAAUAUUUUAUUAAAGCAUAUAUAUGUGUGUGUGUGUGUGUGUGUGUGUAUUAC
RNAcentral lists this long non-coding RNA (7708 nucleotides) under Podarcis lilfordi (Lilford's wall lizard). The record is from RNAcentral. Lineage: Eukaryota; Metazoa; Chordata; Lepidosauria; Squamata; Lacertidae.